Molecule: ribosomal RNA, 312 nt
Filed under: Triticum aestivum (bread wheat)
Lineage: Eukaryota; Viridiplantae; Streptophyta; Magnoliopsida; Poales; Poaceae
Description: partial small subunit ribosomal RNA
Source: RNAcentral
AUGUCAUUCUAUACCUCGAAAGGAUCUGGUACGGAGCGCGGGUGGUUGGCGCCGAGCAGUGGCGGUGCGCUGGCGUUGGACGCGGCGGCGCAGAGGCAGGUGCUGGUGGCGGAUGCGCUGUUACGGAGCGCCGACGUGGUGGGCUUAGCGAUGUGGCCGCCUGUGGCGGCGGCGGCACUGGAUCUGGCCGAUCCAUCAUCGUUGGAUCUGGAUGCUCUGUCGUCGCGGCUGUUGGCGGCAGUUGCCCCGCCAGUGGGGUUCCUUCGUCGCCCUGGAAGGCUGGCCACCUCGGGUGGUGGUGCACAAGGCUAG